CGGGGACCUUCAUGCAAGUCGAACGGCAGCGCGGACUUCGGUCUGGCGGCGAGUGGCGAACGGGUGAGUAAUGUAUCGGAACGUGCCCAGUAGCGGGGGAUAACUACGCGAAAGCGUAGCUAAUACCGCAUACGCCCUACGGGGGAAAGCGGGGGACCUUCGGGCCUCGCACUAUUGGAGCGGCCGAUAUCGGAUUAGCUAGUUGGGGGGUAAAGGCCUACCAAGGCUGCGAUCCGUAGCUGGUUUGAGAGGACGACCAGCCACACUGGGACUGAGACACGGCCCAACUCCUACGGGAGGCAGCAGUGGGGAAUUUUGGACAAUGGGGGCAACCCUGAUCCAGCCAUCCCGCGUGUGCGAUGAAGGCCUUCGGGUUGUAAAGCACUUUUGGCAGGAAAGAAACGGCUCUGGUUAAUACCUGGGGCAACUGACGGUACCUGCAAAUAAGCACCGGCUAACUACGUGCCAGCAGCCGCGGUAAUACGUAGGGUGCAAGCGUUAAUCGGAAUUACUGGGCGUAAAGCGUGCGCAGGCGGUUCGGAAAGAAAGAUGUGAAAUCCCAGGGCUUAACCUUGGAACUGCAUUUUUAACUACCGGGCUAGAGUGUGUCAGAGGGAGGUGGAAUUCCGCGUGUAGCAGUGAAAUGCGUAGAGAUGCGGAGGAACACCGAUGGCGAAGGCAGCCUCCUGGGAUAACACUGACGCUCAUGCACGAAAGCGUGGGGAGCAAACAGGAUUAGAUACCCUGGUAGUCCACGCCCUAAACGAUGUCAACUAGCUGUUGGGGGCUUCGGCCCUUGGUAGCGCAGCUAACGCGUGAAGUUGACCGCCUGGGGAGUACGGUCGCAAGAUUAAACUCAAAGGAAUUGACGGGACCCGCACAGCGUGUAUGAUGUGAAUACUCGAUGCACGGCGAAAACCUUACCCUAC
Molecule: ribosomal RNA, 929 nt
Filed under: Alcaligenes sp. NIOT-BARREN 36
Lineage: Bacteria; Pseudomonadati; Pseudomonadota; Betaproteobacteria; Burkholderiales; Alcaligenaceae
Description: bacterial SSU rRNA
Rfam family: Bacterial small subunit ribosomal RNA
Source: RNAcentral